UGCUACGUGAAUUAGAACUGUUUGGAAAGACAGACCAAAGAGGGUGAUAGUCCCGUAUAAGUAAGCGAAGUUAUUGAUAGUGGUAUCCUGAGUAGUGCGGGACACGUGUAAUCCUGUAUGAAUCCACCGGGACCAUCCGGUAAGGCUAAAUACUCCUGAGAGACCGAUAGUGAACUAGUACCGUGAGGGAAAGGUGAAA
Molecule: ribosomal RNA, 199 nt
Filed under: Micromonas pusilla
Lineage: Eukaryota; Viridiplantae; Chlorophyta; Mamiellophyceae; Mamiellales; Mamiellaceae
Description: partial Bacterial large subunit ribosomal RNA
Rfam family: Bacterial large subunit ribosomal RNA
Source: RNAcentral